GACGAACGCUGGCGGCGUGCUUAACACAUGCAAGUCGUACGGUAAGGCCCUUUCGGGGGUACACGAGUGGCGAACGGGUGAGUAACACGUGAGUAACCUGCCCACAACUUUGGGAUAACGCUAGGAAACUGGUGCUAAUACUGGAUAUGUGCUCCUGCUGCAUGGUGGGGGUUGGAAAGCUCCGGCGGUUGUGGAUGGACUCGCGGCCUAUCAGCUUGGUGGUGGGGUAGUGGCCUACCAAGGCGGCGACGGGUAGCCGGCCUGGGAGGGUGACCGGCCACAUUGGGACUGAGAUACGGCCCAGACGCCUACGGGAGGCAGCAGUGGGGAAUAUUGCACAAUGGGCGCAAGCCUGAUGCAGCAACGCCGCGUGCGGGAUGACGGCCUUCGGGUUGUAAACCGCUUUCAGCAGGGACGAAGCUUUUUGUGACGGUACCUGCAGAAGAAGCACCGGCUAACUACGUG
RNAcentral lists this ribosomal RNA (465 nucleotides) under uncultured bacterium. Its description in RNAcentral is "partial 16S ribosomal RNA". It matches the Rfam family "Bacterial small subunit ribosomal RNA", at positions 28 to 507 of the family's 1533-position model. The record is from RNAcentral.